GGCCGCACGCGCGCUACACUGAUGAAGUCAGCGAGUUUUUCCAACCUUGGCCGGAAGGCCUGGGUAAUCUUGUGAAACUUCAUCGUGCUGGGGAUAGAGCAUUGCAACUAUUGUUCUUCAACGAGGAAUCCCUAGUAAGCGCGAGUCAUUAGCUCGCGUWGAUUACGUCCCUGCCCUUUGUACACACCGCCCGUCGCUACUACCGAUUGAAUGGCUUAGUGAGACUUUCGGAUGUGUUUGGAGCCGCUGGCAACAGUGACACCUUGCGCAGAAGUUAUUCAAACUUGGUCAUUUAGAGGAAGUAAAAGUCGUAACAAGGUUUCCGUAGGUGAACCUGCGGAAGGAUCAUUA
This 351-nucleotide ribosomal RNA is filed under the name Paraglomus brasilianum. RNAcentral describes it as "SSU rRNA". It matches the Rfam family "Eukaryotic small subunit ribosomal RNA". Lineage: Eukaryota; Fungi; Glomeromycota; Glomeromycetes; Paraglomerales; Paraglomeraceae. The record is from RNAcentral.